CCAACACCGUUUCAACUACCUGGACUGCUCUCUAGUUACUCCCUGAACACUUCAAUGGAUGAGUGAUCCAUGUGGAAAAACACUCACUGGAGAUUCUUUUUUUAUCGAUCACAUUUGAAGAUAAUCAUGCAGGAGUUACUAUCAGCAGUGCAUCACAAUCAGAGUGAACAAGAAAAGAGAAAACUCCAUCUUUUCAAGGGUUUAAAUCCCUUAGCCUGGGAAAAGAAAAUGAAAUGAACUAUAGAUAAGCUUUUUCCUCAAUUGAAUGUGCCAGAAACAAUAUUCUAGCCUUCCAAACUGAGGAAAUUAUCUACAGAAGAAAGGCGUUCAUUUGCAGGUAAGACAGAUGAGCAAAGCAUUAGAGACAAACUCAAAAGCUUAAACAGUGCGAAAAUCCAAAUAUUCCAGGGUUUCCUUAGGGAAUAAUCUUCAGAAAAUAUUUACCCUAUAUUCUAUAUUCUAGAAUUGCAUUAGAGCACUUUUU
RNAcentral lists this long non-coding RNA (484 nucleotides) under Phasianus colchicus (ring-necked pheasant). RNAcentral describes it as "lncRNA (ENSPCLG00000018954.1)". Lineage: Eukaryota; Metazoa; Chordata; Aves; Galliformes; Phasianidae. The record is from RNAcentral.